AGUCGAGCGAGUCUGCCAUGAAGAUCGGAGUGCUUGCACUCUGUGAAACAAGAUACAGGCUAGCGGCGGACGGGUGAGUAACACGUGGGUAACCUGCCCAAGAGAUCGGGAUAACACCUGGAAACAGAUGCUAAUACCGGAUAACAACAGAUGAUGCCUAUCAACUGUUUUAAAGAUGGUUCUGCUAUCACUCUUGGAUGGACCUGCGGUGCAUUAGCUAGUUGGUAGGGUAACGGCCUACCAAGGCGAUGAUGCAUAGCCGAGUUGAGAGACUGAUCGGCCACAUUGGGACUGAGACACGGCCCAAACUCCUACGGGAGGCAGCAGUAGGGAAUCUUCCACAAUGGACGCAAGUCUGAUGGAGCAACGCCGCGUGAGUGAAGAAGGGUUUCGGCUCGUAAAGCUCUGUUGUUGGUGAAGAAGGACAGGGGUAGUAACUGACCUUUGUUUGACGGUAAUCAAUUAGAAAGUCACGGCUAACUACGUGCCAGCAGCCGCGGUAAUACGUAGGUGGCAAGCGUUGUCCGGAUUUAUUGGGCGUAAAGCGAGUGCAGGCGGCUCGAUAAGUCUGAUGUGAAAGCCUUCGGCUCAACCGGAGAAUUGCAUCAGAAACUGUCGAGCUUGAGUACAGAAGAGGAGAGUGGAACUCCAUGUGUAGCGGUGAAAUGCGUAGAUAUAUGGAAGAACACCGGUGGCGAAGGCGGCUCUCUGGUCUGUUACUGACGCUGAGGCUCGAAAGCAUGGGUAGCGAACAGGAUUAGAUACCCUGGUAGUCCAUGCCGUAAACGAUGAGUGCUAAGUGUUGGGAGGUUUCCGCCUCUCAGUGCUGCAGCUAACGCAUUAAGCACUCCG
Molecule: ribosomal RNA, 852 nt
Filed under: uncultured bacterium
Lineage: Bacteria
Description: bacterial SSU rRNA
Rfam family: Bacterial small subunit ribosomal RNA
Source: RNAcentral